GACAGAGGGGGCAAGCGUUGUCCGGAGUUACUGGGCGUAAAGGGCGCGGAGGCGGCCUGCGGCGUCGGCGCUGAAAGCGCCCCGCUUAACGGGGCGAGGCGUGCCGAUACGCGCAGGCUCGAGGCGAGCAGAGGGUGGUGGAAUUCCGGGUGGAGCGGUGAAAUGCGUAGAGAUCCGGAGGAACGCCAGUGGGGAAGCCGGCCACCUGGGCUCGUCCUGACGCUGCGGCGCGACCGCGUGGGGAGCAAACCGG
This 253-nucleotide ribosomal RNA is filed under the name uncultured bacterium. Its description in RNAcentral is "partial 16S ribosomal RNA". It matches the Rfam family "Bacterial small subunit ribosomal RNA", at positions 524 to 776 of the family's 1533-position model. The record is from RNAcentral.